RNAcentral lists this ribosomal RNA (495 nucleotides) under uncultured bacterium. RNAcentral's name for it is "partial 16S ribosomal RNA". It matches the Rfam family "Bacterial small subunit ribosomal RNA", at positions 28 to 507 of the family's 1533-position model. The record is from RNAcentral.
GAUGAACGCUGGCGGCGUGCCUAAUACAUGCAAGUAGAACGCUGAAGGAGGAGCUUGCUCUUCUGGAUGAGUUGCGAACGGGUGAGUAACGCGUAGGUAACCUGCCUGGUAGCGGGGGAUAACUAUUGGAAACGAUAGCUAAUACCGCAUGACAACAGUUAUUGCAUGAUAACUGUUGAAAAGGGGCAACUGCUCCACUACCAGAUGGACCUGCGUUGUAUUAGCUAGUUGGUGAGGUAACGGCUCACCAAGGCGACGAGACAUAGCCGAGCUGAGAGGGUGAUCGGCCAAACUGGGACUGGGACACGGGCCAGACUUCUACGGGAGGCAGCAGUAGGGAAUCAUCGGCAAUGGACGGAAGGCUGACCGCGCAACGCCGCGUGGGUGAAGAAGGGUUUCGGAUCGGAAAGGUCUGUUGUGAGGGAAGAAAGAGUGUGAGAGUGGAAAGUUCACACUGUGACGGUAUCUUAACAGAAAGGGACGGCUAACUACGUG